UACGUAGGGGGCUAGCGUUGUCCGGAUUUAUUGGGCGUAAAGAGAGUGUAGGCGGCCUGGUAGGUCUGCUGUGAAAACUCGAGGCUCAACCUCGAGAUGUCGGCGGAAACCAUCUGGCUAGAGUCCGGAAGAGGAGAGUGGAAUUCCUGGUGUAGCGGUGAAAUGCGCAGAUAUCAGGAAGAACACCUAUGGCGAAGGCAGCUCUCUGGGACGGUACUGACGCUGAGACGCGAAAGCGUGGGGAGCGAACAGG
This 253-nucleotide ribosomal RNA is filed under the name uncultured bacterium. RNAcentral's name for it is "partial 16S ribosomal RNA". It matches the Rfam family "Bacterial small subunit ribosomal RNA", at positions 524 to 776 of the family's 1533-position model. The record is from RNAcentral.